Sinocyclocheilus anshuiensis is the source of this 224-nucleotide long non-coding RNA. RefSeq lists it as uncharacterized. NCBI's taxonomy places the organism in Eukaryota, Metazoa, Chordata, Actinopteri, Cypriniformes, Cyprinidae. The record is from RefSeq and is a predicted model, not a curated record. The transcript has 3 exons.
UAUGUGUUUUCUUUUGACAGAGCUUAUUUUUCACUGCAUGUGGUAUCAUUCGUCUGGGAGAGUUUGGAGAGAUUAAUGAAUGGUCCACGGAUACACAAACAACAGACACUGAAGCUCUUGCAUAUGUUGCACCUGAGAACUUGAGUGGCAGACCGUAUGAUGAGAAAACUGAAAUUUGGAGGUUGGGAUGUGUCAUCUAUGAGCUGUGCAUGCUGAAGUGCGCG